CGGGGCGUGGCGCAGUCCGGUCAGCGCGCACGGUUCGGGUCCGUGAGGUCAGCGGUUCAAAUCCGCUCGCCCCGACCA
This 78-nucleotide transfer RNA is filed under the name Anaerolineae bacterium. Its description in RNAcentral is "tRNA-Pro". It matches the Rfam family "tRNA". Rfam says of the family: Transfer RNA (tRNA) molecules are approximately 80 nucleotides in length. Their secondary structure includes four short double-helical elements and three loops (D, anti-codon, and T loops). RNAcentral also lists the same sequence under 1 other name. Lineage: Bacteria; Bacillati; Chloroflexota; Anaerolineae. The record is from RNAcentral.